This is a regulatory RNA element of Treponema maltophilum ATCC 51939, 123 nucleotides long. It matches the Rfam family "TD-1 RNA". From Rfam's summary of the family: non coding RNA found in Treponema denticola NCBI's taxonomy places the organism in Bacteria, Pseudomonadati, Spirochaetota, Spirochaetia, Treponematales, Treponemataceae. The record is from Rfam.
CUUCAACACCGAGUUUGCAUGGCAAACUCGGUUAUUUAUUGCGCUUUCUCAACCGGUGGUUUGCGAAAGCGCUGCUAAAAACUUUUUCGGAAGCUCAAGCUUCCUGCAAAAGUUUUUAUAGGA